RNAcentral lists this ribosomal RNA (391 nucleotides) under uncultured microorganism. Its description in RNAcentral is "bacterial SSU rRNA". It matches the Rfam family "Archaeal small subunit ribosomal RNA", at positions 330 to 725 of the family's 1478-position model. The record is from RNAcentral.
GCGCAGCAGUCGCGAAAACUUUACAAUGUGCGAAAGCACGAUAAGGGAACUCUGAGUGCCUCCUAAGGAGGCUGUUCAGGUGUCUAAAAGCACCUGAAGGAAGGGCUGGGUAAGACCGGUGCCAGCCGCCGCGGUAACACCGGCAGCCCAAGUGGUAGCCACGUUUAUUGGGUCUAAAGCGUCCGUAGCCGGCUGGGUAAGUUCCUUGGGAAAUUUGGCUGCUUAACAGUCAAGCUUUCAGGGAAUACUGCUCGGCUUGGGGACCCGGGAGAGGUCAGAGGUACUCCAGGGGUAGGGGUGAAAUCCAUUAAUCCUUGGGGGACCACCGGUAGCGAAGGCGUCUGACCAGACCGGGUCCGACGGUGAGGGACGAAGGCUAGGGGCGCGAACC